CAACUGGCGAGAAGCAGGGACAGGCCUCAUACUCGGGUCUUUCUGGCUUCAGCACGCUUUCCUUCCACACACGUGUACUGGCACCCACUAAAUGCUGAGCUCUGCUCAACGCUCGGAAGAAGCAGGCCCUGCCUUAUCAUGCGCACACUCUAGGGGAAAACAAGUAACAGCGAGUAAACAAAGGAACAGACGACAUCAGGGUAAAGUGAUGGAGAGAUUGCGGUGAGGCCACCAGCCUCCAUAAGGAGACAGGCCUUGGUGAAGUCGCUGUGCCUCGGUUCUCAGUGAGUUGUCUUCAGGCUUUGGAGCCACAGGCCGUGUCUUCUUACUUGAGCCCUGGUGCUCCCUUAAAAGGCCGCCCUCCUUCCCCUGGCUUCCAGAGGCAGAGGCAGAGGCAGAGGCAGAGGCAGAGGCGGGCUGCAGGCGGCAUCCUACACCUGGAGCUGCUGGUGGCCGUGGGCCCCGAUGUCUUCCAGGCUCACCAGGAGGACACAGAGCGCUACGUGCUCACCAACCUCAACAUCGGGGCAGAACUGCUUCGGGACCCGUCCCUGGGGGCUCAGUUUCGGGUGCACCUGGUGAAGAUGGUCAUUCUGACAGAGCCUGAGGGUGCUCCAAAUAUCACAGCCAACCUCACCUCGUCCCUGCUGAGCGUCUGUGGGUGGAGCCGGACCAUCAACCCUGAGGACGACACGGAUCCUGGCCAUGCUGACCUGGUCCUCUAUAUCACUAGGUUUGACCUGGAGUUGCCUGAUGGUAACCGGCAGGUGCGGGGCGUCACCCAGCUGGGCGGUGCCUGCUCCCCAACCUGGAGCUGCCUCAUUACCGAGGACACUGGCUUCGACCUGGGAGUCACCAUCGCCCAUGAGAUUGGGCACAGGAUAUGUGCCAGGCCCUCUCCUGCCACACAGACCCGCUGGACCAAAGCAGCUGCAGCCGCCUCCUCAUUCCUCUCCUGGAUGGGACAGAAUGUGGCGUGGAGAAGAAUAUGUCACAUUUCUGACAGUUACCCCCAACCUGACCAGUGUCUACAUUGCCAACCACAGGCCUCUCUUCACACACUUGGCGGUGAGGAUCGGAGGGCGCUAUGUCGUGGCUGGGAAGAUGAGCAUCUCCCCUAACACCACCUACCCCUCCCUCCUGGAGGAUGGUCGUGUCGAGUAUAGAGUGGCCCUCACCGAGGACCGGCUGCCCCACCUGGAGGAGAUCCGCAUCUGGGGACCCCUGCAGGAAGAUGCUGACAUCCAGGUGGGAGGUGUCAGAGCCCAGCUCAUGCACAUCAGCUGGUGGAGCAGGCCUGGCCUUGGAGAACGAGACCUGUGUGCCAGGGGCAGAUGGCUUGGAGGCUCCAGUGACUGAGGGGCCUGGCUCCGUAGAUGAGAAGCUGCUUGCCCCUGAGCCCUGUGUCGGGAUGUCAUGCCCUCCAGGCUGGGGCCAUCUGGAUGCCACCUCUGCAGGGGAGAAGGCUCCCUCCCCAUGGGGCAGCAUCAGGAUGGGGGCUCAAGCCGCACACAUGUGGACCCCUGCGGCGGGGUCGUGCUCCGUCUCCUGCGGGCGAGGUCUGAUGGAGCUGCGUUUCCUGUGCAUGGACUCUGCCCUCAGGGUGCCUGUCCAGGAAGAGCUGUGUGGCCUGGCAAGCAAGCCUGGGAGCCGGCGGGAGGUCUGCCAGGCUGUCCCGUGCCCUGCUCGGUGGCGGUACAAGCUGGCGGCCUGCAGCGUGAGCUGUGGGGGAGGGGUCGUGCGGAGGAUCCUGUAUUGUGCCCGGGCCCAUGGGGAGGAUGAUGGUGAGGAGAUCCUGUUGGACACCCAGUGCCAGGGGCUGCCUCGCCCGGAAGCCCAGGAGGCCUGCAGCCUGGAGCCCUGCCCUCCUAGGUGGAAAGUCAUGUCCCUUGGCCCAUGUUCGGCCAGCUGUGGCCUUGGCACUGCUAGACGCUCGGUGGCCUGUGUGCAGCUCGACCAAGGCCAGGACGUGGAGGUGGAUGAGGCGGCCUGUGUGGCGCUGGUGCGGCCCCAGGCCAGUGUCCCCUGUCUCAUUGCUGACUGCACCUACCGCUGGCAUGUUGGCACCUGGAUGGAGUGCUCUGUUUCCUGUGGGGAUGGCAUCCAGCGCCGGCGUGACACCUGCCUCGGACCCCAGGUCCAGGCGCCUGUGCCGGCUGAUUUCUGCCAGCACUUGCCCAAGCCGGUGACUGUGCGUGGCUGCUGGGCUGGGCCCUGUGUGGGACAGGGUGCCUGUGGCAGGCAGCACCUUGAGCCAACAGGAACCAUUGACAUGCGAGGCCCAGGGCAGGCAGACUGUGCAGUGGCCAUUGGGCGGCCCCUCGGGGAGGUGGUGACCCUCCGCGUCCUUGAGAGUUCUCUCAACUGCAGUGCGGGGGACAUGUUGCUGCUCUGGGGCCGGCUCACCUGGAGGAAAAUGUGCAGGAAGCUGUUGGACAUGACUUUCAGCUCCAAGACCAACACGCUGGUGGUGAGGCAGCGCUGCGGGCGGCCAGGAGGCGGGGUGCUGCUGCGGUAUGGGAGCCAGCUUGCUCCUGAAACCUUCUACAGAGAUCCGGGACACCCACAGCUUGAGGACCACAGCGUUCCAUGGGCAGCAGGUGCUCUACUGGGAGUCAGAGAGCAGCCAGGCUGAGAUGGAGUUCAGCGAGGGCUUCCUGAAGGCUCAGGCCAGCCUGCGGGGCCAGUACUGGACCCUCCAAUCAUGGGUACCGGAGGUGCAGGACCCUCAGUCCUGGAAGGGAAAGGAAGGAACCUGAGGGUCAUUGAACAUUUGUUCCGUGUCUGGCCAGCCCUGGAGGGUUGACCUCUGGUCUCAGUGCUUUCCAAUUCGAACUUUUUCCAAUCUUAGGUAUCUACUUUAGAGUCUUCUCCAAUGUCCAAAAGGCUAGGGGGUUGGAGGUGGGGACUCUGGAAAAGCAGCCCCCAUUUCCUCGGGUACCAAUAAAUAAAACAUGCAGGCUGA
Molecule: small RNA, 2965 nt
Filed under: Pan troglodytes (chimpanzee)
Lineage: Eukaryota; Metazoa; Chordata; Mammalia; Primates; Hominidae
Description: processed transcript
Source: RNAcentral